Molecule: ribosomal RNA, 228 nt
Filed under: uncultured bacterium
Lineage: Bacteria
Description: partial 16S ribosomal RNA
Rfam family: Bacterial small subunit ribosomal RNA
Source: RNAcentral
UCCGUAGGUGGAUAAUUAAGUCAGAGGUGAAAUCCUGCAGCUCAACUGUAGAAUUGCCUUUGAUACUGGUUAUCUUGAGUUAUUAUGAAGUAGUUAGAAUAUGUAGUGUAGCGGUGAAAUGCAUAGAUAUUACAUAGAAUACCAAUUGCGAAGGCAGAUUACUAAUAAUCAACUGACACUGAUGGACGAAAGCGUGGGGAGCGAACAGGAUUAGAUACCCUGGUAGUC